GGCUUUGAGGAUGUCUGCGGUGCUCCAGAAGCUCAAGAGGUUCAAGCUGCGGGCCCUGCACAACCAGAAGAAAUUUGGGGUGGCGGGCAGGAGCUGCGAGGAAGUGCUGCGGAAGGCGUGCCUCCACUUGCAGCGUCGAGCAACAGAGGACUAAACCUCAGCAAGUUCAGAGUCCCGCGUGCUGAUCACACUUCCGUGGACAGAGGCGGCUUAGUGCAAGCAGUCAAGGGUCAUUUUUGGAAACAGGCUUGAAUUUUAAAGCGCCCUGGAGGAGCUCGGUUUGGAGGGUCCGAGUGGUGAAUCCUGCAAAGCGGUUAUCACCGUCUCCCCGUUCCUGGCUCCAGCCUGUGUCUCUACGAGGACGGCACGGAGCUGACUGGAGAUUACUUCUGGAGUGUCCCCGACGACUCGGAGCUCGUGCUUCUCACUGCGGGGCAGACCUGGCAGGGUUACGCGAGUGACAUCAGCCGCUUCCUGAGCGUGUUCCAGAAGCCGCAUGCAGAGCUCAUCCAGGCCGCCCGGCAGCUGCUCUCGGACGAGCGGGCCCCGCUGCGGCAGAAGCUCCUGGCCGACCUGCUGGGCACUGUCAGCGAGAACAUCGCGGCCGAGACCAGGGCCGAGGACGCGCCGUGGUUCGAAGCAGGUGUCAGGAUUCCCUUCCUCUUUGAGGCUGCGUGAUAUUCCAUCACCUGGGUGGACCACAUCUUUAUCCAUUCACCUGGGCUGCUCCCACCUUUUGGACUGGCCUCUCAAGCCAGAUGGAGGGAGCCCUGAGCGACUGCAGCCCUCUUGGGAAAGGGGCUUGGAGGUGCCACCAGGCAGAAGCCCCUCGGUGGCCUUUGAGACGCUCCGUGCUGGUGGACCAGACUUCUCCACAAACGAACAAAAUCCAGGGAUAGUGUGUUUGGAGUCCCGGUUUAGGAACAAGUCUGGCUACCUGAGAUACAGCUGUGAGAGCCGGAUCCGGAGCUACCUGAGAGAGAGCUCAAGCUGGGUCCGGGGUUGCAGACUUUGCCUCCCUGCACUCUCCGUGAACUCUCCCUACGGGCUGUGGCGUCUGGCGCCUCCCUGCUUGUCCCGGAGGCUCGGGAGGAGUACCUGCGGGUCGUGGGCGCCAUGGGCCAGAAGCUCCAGGCCGCCCGCUACAACAGCAGCUACUUCGACAGGGGGGCGAAGGCCAGCCGCCGGCUCUGCACGCCUGAAGGCUGGUUCUCCUGCCAGGGUCCCUUUGACGUGGACGACUGUGCUUCCAGACACUCCAUCAACCCCUACAGUAACAGGGAGAGCCGCGUCCUCUUUAGCACCUGGAACCUGGACCACGUUAGGAAAUACUGCAGUACUGCUCCAUCCACGUUGGUUGACUCGGCGGAUACCGAGCCGCGGACACGAAGGAACCCUGCGCGCAGAGGGCCUCCUGGAAAGUUACACGUGGAGUUUUGCCCGCGUGGGGUGCUGGCUCCUAACGUCCCCUGUCUCCCGUCCUGCGUGUUGCCGGGUUGCUCUCCAGGGUGGUCCCACCGACACCCUCACCGGCUGUGAGUUCACGCGCCCCAGGCUUCACCACCUCUUGGUAUCAGUACUCUUUUUGCGUUCUCCCAGUCUGAUGGGCGAGAAGCAGAUUCUCCUGUUGCAGUUCAUUUGCCUGAUCACUAGGAAGGUUGAAUGUCCGUGUGUUUAUUGGCCGUUUGCGUUCUGUGAAGUGGCUCUUGCUUCCUCUGUUCAUGUUUUACUGGGCUUUGGUUUUCUAAUUAAUUUGUAGGAAUUCUUUACACGUCCUGGUUACUGAUUCUUUGGUGGCUCUUUGUGUUACAGGUAUGUUUUUACACUUUGGGCUUGUCUUUCGCUCCUGGGAUGUCUUUGAUCGUGACGAGUUUAAAUUCCAGUGUACUGAGACAUAUCUCUUCUUUUUCGUGUGAAAUCCUUUCCUUCCUGUAUCAUGAAGAUAUCCUAGUUUUUCUCUCCUGGUUGGCUGCGCUGUUUCUGACCUGCCUGGAGCACCCCAAGAUGAUCUCGGGGCUCCAGGCCAUCUGUCUGCUCCUGUCUUUUCACGGCCCACUAGGGGCCACCACCAGCGUCUGAGGAGGGAAACUGGCCGGCCUGGAAGAGAACGCGGAUGAAGCAGCAGCGUGCACGCCAGGCCCUGAGUCAUGUCUCCUGAAACGUGCCAGUUACAUUGCCGCUGUUCUUCUAAAUACACAUACGUCCACAUAGAUACACACACUGGCUUUUAACUUAAAAUGCAGUUUUGACAGCAGGCGGCCGGGGUUUGAAAACACUGGUCUGAUUGUUUCCCUGAGACGUGGCCACAGGCCCACCCCGACUCUGGUGGGGCUGAAGCCACAAGCCACGUGUUUAAAUAGUUAAACACUAAAGAGUAACAAACCCUCAGUACAGCACGUGCUGUCCUCCCACCUGGACCGUGUCACCGCGGCCCAGGCCAGGUUCCUGGCCCCAGUCGGCGGACUUCUCAGGGCUCCGGGACGUGACUGCAGUGGCCUGCAGUCCGCAGCCUGCCCUCUUCUCUCACCCCUCGGGCCCCCUCACACCACGAGGGCUGCACGUACGGGGGCGCAGCCUGUCCCCGGAGGACGUCCCGCGCCUGAGUUCCGGGCGUGUGGGCUGGGCGGCGGGGCAGGGGUCCUGUUCCCCGAGGGCUGAGGGCGCCUCCUCCAACACCCGGUGUUGUGAGAAGUCUUCCUGUCUGGGACCAGCGCUUCCCUCCCUCCCUUCAAAACCGUCCUCGGCCUUUUCCUUAACUUCAUACAUUUGGCUUUUAUUUUUUAUCCUUUCUUUCUACUUUUUGGGGUUUCUUCUUGCUUAUUAGUUAAUUUGCAUCUCUUCUGUUUUCUAACAUGUACAUUUCAGGCUAUCAGCUUCAGCUUUAGCUACUGCCUGUGAGUUGGGUAAUUUUAUUGUUGUUCAGGUGUAAGGAUUCUGUCAUUUCCACCGUGAUUUUGUCGCUGCUCCGUGAACUGGUUAGAAGUGGGCAUUUGUGUUCAGUUGCUGCCGGAUUCCUAGCUGCCUCUCUCGGCGCCCGCUCGCUGCUGUGGCCGCUCACGCCUCCUCUCAGCCUCAGUGGCGGGGGCGUGAGUGCGCGUGGCCUCAGACCCGCGUGGCCUCAGACCCGCGUGGCCUCAGACCUGCGUGGCUGGAUUUAAGAUGCUCUGCCGGCUUUCCGCCCCUUUCUUGUCGACCUUGACGAGUCUCCAGGUUUGGGUGAGCGUCCCACUGGCCGUGUUAUUGCUCUUGUUCCCGUGGGGUCCGAGAUGGUCCCGUCAGAGCUGCCAGCUGCCGUCCUCUGCCUGGGUGGUGACGGCCGUGCUCCCCGUCGGCAUCGGGCUCUGCCAGGUCACUGGUGUGGGCACGUCCCCAGCGUCUUUCUGCUGCCGGGAUAGCGUCUGGCCACUGUGGCCAUUCACCCAGUGUUGGCUGAAUAAAUAGAAAAUGUGUUUGGACUUCUGUAGCCCUCUCUUCUGGGUUCCCAGUCACCGUUCCAGUUCUUCCCUUCUGGGCCUCCUUUGUGCUUUCUGUGGGUUUAACCGAGUUUUCCUUUUCCCUUGCCCAUCACCCCGCCCUUCAGUGGUUUGGGAAAUAGAUGUCUGCUGGUGUUCCCUUAGUGGGGCCCCUGAGUGAAGCACGUUGGAAGCAGAAUUGCGUCCCCCUCGCCCCUAGGCCCCAUGGAGUCACCUUGGUGUCACCCCCUCUGCUCACCGUGAGCCCUGCACAAAGCGUGGGCGUGUUCCCGGGGUGGGUCCUCGCUUACGCUCACCCACAGAUCACAUGGCACUCAGGCUCACUCCCUGUCGACGGUGAGGGUCAGGGGCUCGUAGAAAGGCCCUGAGCGCUUGCUGAGCUGACGUGACUCCAGGCCAGCGGCCCCUCGGCCCGCAGUGCUUUGGAGACACACCGCCUCACCUUCUGGCGUCUGUUCACAAGGCUGCCGUCAGUCUCCUCUGCCUUUUCUGUGGCAGCUUUAGGCUUUCCCUUUCUCUUUGAAAAUGAUGCAUAUCUAGUACAGAUCUCUGUUUUAAAUUCUGACCGGGACUUGUAUUCUCUGCUCUGAAGAUGUGUCUGUCUUUAAUUUUGGGAAGCUCUUCAGCAUUGAUUCUCUGACUCCCCCUCACGGACCUGGACCAGCUCCUUCUGUCCUCCUCGUGCUGCGUCUGCUCUUACACAUUCCCAUUCCCGGGGACUUCCUGCCACGGACUGAACUGUGUCCCCCAAAUUCAUGUGCUGAAGCCCUAACCCCAGGGUGACUGUGUCUGGGGAUAGGCUCUUCAGGAGGUGGUUAAGGGUAAAUGAGGUUGGAAGGGGGGAUCUGAUGGGACUGAUCUGAUAGGACUGUGGUCUCGUAAGAAGAGAGGGCUCGCUCUCCACCGUGUGAGGACGCAGCGAGGGGGCAGCCGUCUGCGAGCCAGGAAGACACUUCUCAGCAGAACCCAACCACGCUGGCCCUCUGGUCUCAGAAUCCCAGCCUCCAGAAUGCUUGUGGGAUCUUAGUUCCCCGACCAGGGAUUGAACUUGCACCCUCAGCAGUGAAAGCGCCGAGUCCUAACCACUGGACCGCCAGGGAGGUCCCCCAUCUACCUGUAAAAUGUGAGAAGCCCGGGUGGCCGGCAUCAGGCUCUGCCAGGCUGGCUGGCCCGGCGGGCGGGGCCGCGUGCGGCGAUGGCACCCCCGCCAGCCUGUGGAGGGAUGUCCCCAGCGCUCGUUCGAUGGCCACAGGAAUAGAAAAGAAGCGCACGGUCGUCCCCACGCUGGCCGCGGCCAUCCACGACGCCGAGGGGAGAGAAGUAGACUGGGAGUACUUCUACCGCCUGCUCUUCACCUCUGAGAACCUCAAGUUAGUC
Molecule: RNA transcript, 4850 nt
Organism: Balaenoptera acutorostrata (minke whale)
Lineage: Eukaryota; Metazoa; Chordata; Mammalia; Artiodactyla; Balaenopteridae
Gene: DFFB
Gene name: DNA fragmentation factor subunit beta
Exons: 13
Source: RefSeq, a predicted model, not a curated record